RNAcentral lists this transfer RNA (57 nucleotides) under Oxidus gracilis. RNAcentral's name for it is "tRNA-Ser". RNAcentral also lists the same sequence under 1 other name. The record is from RNAcentral. Lineage: Eukaryota; Metazoa; Arthropoda; Diplopoda; Polydesmida; Paradoxosomatidae.
GUUGUUUGAAUUGUAUUUUGAAAAUACAGAUAAGGAAUAAAAGAGUCCUAAAUAACU